Molecule: long non-coding RNA, 3978 nt
Organism: Hemicordylus capensis (graceful crag lizard)
Lineage: Eukaryota; Metazoa; Chordata; Lepidosauria; Squamata; Cordylidae
Exons: 2
Source: RefSeq, a predicted model, not a curated record
AUAUGUGGGGAUAUGAAAACCAAAUCAAGAAGACUCUCCUUCGUUCCCUAGAUCAUUAUUAUCUGAAAGCACUGCGCUGCAGAGUCUAACCCUGACCGCUCUAAUUAGUUUAAAUUUCACAUUAAUUCCCAUGCGUUUCUACCACUCUGACCCAUCGCUCAUGGAGAAUUCUGCCAGCUGCAAUUGAGAACCGAACGCAUAUUAAAAACUCGUGUAACUGUUCCCUCUUGAUAACAACUUAGCGCAUGCGUAGUGGCGUAGAGAGAAACGUUUCAUAUGCGUGCGUAGUCAUAGGUUAAGACUAAGGAGACGCCGGAGAAUCAAGAGAGGAAUCGAGGAAGCCGAAUGCACAUACUAUUUACAGUAGACAGUGUGGUCAGAGAGAGCAGGACAGGAACCUACAACGCAUGGGGACACCGUCCAUUGAUAUGCUGGAGCUGUCUUCGGUCCCUCGGAGCCAGGCCAUCUGGCAACAAGCACAGGGGUAUUGCUGUAUCGUCUGAGGUAUAGUGUUUUCUUUUUUUCUCCCACUAUGAAGUGAUGGCACUUGAGACAAAUUCCUUCCAAGGAAAUGCUACUUUGGGGCCAAGGUUUUUCUUACUCCUCUCCAUGCCUUGCAAACAGUCAUUUCCUGGAUAUGUUGUGAAGGCAAAUCUUAGACAAGCCUCAUGGUUCCUUUUCACUCAGGAAAGGGAAAACAGUAAAUGCCAUAAAUCCUCUCCUCCAUUUAAAAAAAGGGGGGGGAGGGAAAUAUUCAUGGCCGAUGAAACCUACAACAGAGCGGGGGAAAGAAUUGCAAUCAGGAUAAUGCAAUGGGUUGUGCCGCAUGGCCUGAUGCUUCAUUCUUGGAAUGCAAAACCCAGGAAAUAUAGGAACACUAGCCGACCUGCACAGAGCAUCUGUGUGCUUUGGGGCCGGCUGCUUCCCACUUCCUCUCCCUCCUGUCUCUCCUCUCUCCCCCCUCUCCCUCCAGGCCCGAGCUCUCUUGCCCUCCCGCCCUCCCAUUCCUCCCCCCACAUAGAGCCUCACCGGGCUGCAGGCAGCCAAAAAGGGCCCCGCCGCCGCCGCUCCUCCUCUCCCAUGGCAAACAGGGAAGCCCUGCCGCCCGAUUCCUUCCCACCCCAGGCUGCAACAGGUGAGGGGUCUGCGCCCCCCCACCUGUUCCCCACUCAGCCCUGCAGGUGCCUCCAGGGCCAGCCUGUCCCACUGCCUCCUCCCAGCCAGGCCGCAGCUGCGAUGGCCGGGCUAGGGCUGCGGCUGCCGAUGCCUCCUCACAGCAGCCCGUGAUGGCCGACAUCGCCUCCUCGCCGCGGCCGCCGCCAUUUCCCCCCACAGCUGCAGCUCAACAAAAUGGCCUCCGCUGCCCAGCCAAUCCACUGGGUUGCCGGGACGCAUCCCCACAGAGGCACGUCUACAGGGAUUAAAUAUAUGGAUUGGGAGCUGUCUUCUGCUGAGUUAGACCCUUGGCCCAUAUAGCUCAGUACUAUCUACACUGACUGGAAGCAGCUCUCCAAGGUUACAGGCAGAAGUCUCUCUCAGCCCUCCCUAGAGAUGAACCUGGGACCUUCUGUAGACAAGCAGGUGUUCUACCACGGAGUUACAGCCCCAUCCCCGAAGGGGAAUAUCUUAUAGCGCUCACAUGUAGUCUUCCAGCCAAAUGCAAACUAAGGCAGAACCUGCUUAGCAAAAGGGAGAAUUCAUACCGCCACAAGACUGGCUCUCCUCCCCAAGAAAGAUGCCUCACCCAGGUCAAGCCUGAGCACAUGUGCUCUACAACUGCAAAGCGCUUCUUGCUAGGCAGUGUUGGAUUUUAUUAUAAACCACUCAUGAGGUCAUCAUUAGGGGUGUACAAUUUGAUUCGUGGUUGAAUAGAUUCAAGUCAAAUUGGGGGCAAUUAGCAGAUUCGACCUUGAAUUGAAUCACCCUCAAAAUAGAGGGCCCAAUUUGGGCUUGAAGCAAAUCACCCCCGAUUCAACCCAAAUUGAUUCAGGUGGUUCAAACGCCAUUUUGAGGCCCAUUUUGCUGGGAGGCUCCUUAGGAAGGAGAUAUGGUGGCGCAGUGGUAAAACUGGUGGCGCAGUGGUAAAACUGCCGCCCUGUAACCAGAAGGUUACAAGUUUGAUCCUGACCAGGGGUUCAAGGUUGACUCAGCCUUCCAUCCUUCCGAGGUCGGUAAAAUGAGUACCCAGAAUGUUGGGGGCAAUAUGCUAAAUCAUUGUAAACCGCUUAGAGAGCUCCGGCUAUAGAGCGGUAUAUAAAUGUAAGUGCUAUUGCUAUUGCUAUAUGGUCUACCAGUUGGGGUCGGUGGGUAGACCAAGCCAGGCAGAUACCGACCCCAAUCGGUAAGACCAGCUCUCCCCAGAAAAACAGGAGAGCUGGUCUUACCGAUUGGAAUUGGCAGGUAGACCAGCCCUUCACUCCAGACCUGGUGCAUCAGCCCACCUUGGAGGACUGGUCUACCUGGCAGGCAGGCAGGUGCGCUAAGUCCAGAGUGGAGGGCUGGUCUAUCCACUGAUCCUAAUUGAAAGGAUCAAUAGACCAGUUCUCCCAAUAAAAGCAUCUCACUGGAAAAGGUGACGGAAUGCACUCCUAAGGGGCAACCUGCCUAGCUCCAUCACUGGCUGCUUUUGGCAGGGCAGUUUAAGACUCACUGGCUGACAUCCUAACAACAACAACAAAACUAUAGGAGGACAUUGCACUAGUGCAAAGCAGUUGCGCUAGCUACUUGUGCCAAGUAUGGAACUUCCAGGUUAGUUGUGCACUAUUGAAACUAUACUCAUGUGACUUUGUUAGAAUGUCAGCCAUCUCUUUUAAUUAGCAUACUGCUAUCAAGUGAAUUAAAGUGUCUCUGUGUGUGUGUGUGUGUGUGUGUGUGUGUGUGUGUGUGUGUGUGUGCGCGCAUGUACUGCUUUUGUUUUUAAUGUGUUGCUCUUUUGCUUGGUUGCCUGAGCUGCUUUUAAGGAGUUGCUGUUUUAUAUUGAUUCAUUGCAACUUGCGUGAGAUCCUGAUGGCCACUGAUUAAAAAACGGAGAGAGACGUUCUUUGAAGACUAAUGGGAAGACCACAAGCCACUACAAGCCACUACAGUCCUGCAGGGAAACCACUGUAGGACGGGCAGGUGCCUCCUCUUACACACCGUGUGAACUGCUUGCUUUCUUCGUGGACUUCCAUUUCGGAACUUUUGAACUGGUUCAGCUCCUUCCGGAUGGCAGCCUGCAUGGAGGGGGUAGAGGAAUCCCGUCAGCUUGGCUCUGGUGAGCCUCCACUCCCAAACCCUGCCACAGUUGAUAUCAAAGCCAGCCUCAUAAUGCAGCAAGGAGCUUCGUGUUUCUGCCUUAGCUCCAUUUUGUCCAGCCGCAGCCACCCUCCUUAGCUAUUGUGCUGCUGCAUUUCCUCACUAAUCAGUAGCCAGAAGUCUGAGCAAGGAAGGAAAGAAUCUGGUCUGGAGCCCAGAAAGGCCCUGUGCAGCAGGGGGAGAGGGAGCAGCUGGCAGGAAGCACUGGGUUCGGGCCAGCUGGGUUACUUAGGGGCCUUUUCAGUGUCCUUGCUUCUAGCGAUUUGUCAGGUACACACUCCCCCUCCCUGCAACACAUUCCAGGUUUUCAGGGUCACUGUAGCAUUAGGUUGCCCUUUUUAGGCUUGGCAUAGGAAACACGCAGGAGUGGGAGGAGAGAUGGUGUUACCGGAGUCGUGGGAUGCUGCAGGAAAGGGAGGGAGCAGGAAGGAUGUUCCCCACAGCCCAGAGGAUCGGCAGCAAAAGCUAUCAGGACUUCAUAUACAUGCAUAUCCUCAUCUUAAGAUGGCAUUUAUAUUAUUAUUUCUUGUUUACACAGUCAGACAGGUGUUAUUGACUGGUUUGUUUAAUCCAGACAUCGAGUCCUUCCCAAGGACCUGGGAUGCCAGAAUUUUAUUGUCAAUUGUUAUAGAUAUCGUCGCAGAAUAUAGGCUGUUCCCAGUAAAGCUGCUUUUUGUAAUUGGC